RNAcentral lists this unclassified non-coding RNA (2101 nucleotides) under Hevea brasiliensis (rubber tree). Lineage: Eukaryota; Viridiplantae; Streptophyta; Magnoliopsida; Malpighiales; Euphorbiaceae. The record is from RNAcentral.
UGCUGAUAUAACAGAAUUAUUAUCACAAAUAUGUAGUACUAUUUUACAACAAUAUUCACUUCAAAAUAGAACCCCAAUAAUACUCCAUAUCCAAAACCCUGUGCUCUUUAUUGUUUUUUCUGUGACUCCUUUACAAUUUACAUCUUUGCAAUGUUAUAUACAGAACCUUGCUGCUAACCUACCACCAGUUUCGGACCCUCUUCGUUCUUCCUCAGUAUUACCAGCUCCUUGUUAAGGCAACAGCUCCAUCGUUGUUGAAGUGUGUACCCUAGAGCUGAUUAUUGCAACGUCCGUGUAUCCAUCGUCUUGAUCUCAUACACUCUUAAACUAAAUCAGUCCUUAUGUUAUGAUAAAACUAUUGUACAAGACUGAUGCCUAGGGAAGAACUGUCAUCAUCUCGAAUUAAGUCCUCAACUGGGUUCUCCUUGGCCCACACAGCUGCAUCCACAUAACCUUGUUCAAAGAGCUUAUCAAGAAUAUCAUCUUCUGCAGGCUCGAGUGCCCAAUUGAGAAGCUGGCGGGGAGUGGCCCUGCUAUCGGGGUUGCAGUCAGGACUUAUCCCAAUUCCUUGCAAUCCCAAACGACUGGCUGGAAAUGCACAAAUGCGCACCGUCUGAGCAGCAGAUGUCGGCGGCAUAAACAGUGUCAGCCCCCCAUCAAUACACAAUCUAUUCCUGAAAAACGUGGCUGGUCUCGGAGCAAGAUAUCCUGGGAUAAACGAAGAAGUAAAGACAGCAUUGAUAAGAUCUUCCUUUGAAUCAAACUGAUCAACCAACAAGCCUCUGGGCCUCCAAAGUAUCUGUGUUACAGCAACACGAACUCUUCCAUUGCAUCUAAUAUGAGCAUCAUCUGGAAGAAAUUUCUCUAGAACUUCUCUAAGAACAGCCCCAAGGCGAAAUGCUGUCCCUUUGAGCCGACAAUCUUGAGCUAAUAUUUUCGUAGCAUCUAGAGCCUCUUGCAUACUGGCACCAGAAGCAACCACUACACAGACAAUUGCACCAGCAGACGAACCAGCUAGUGGUGUUGUCUCCUUGAUAUAGCCCUUCUCAAUGAGAAGCUUAGCAACCCCAAGAUGAUAGGGAAACAAAAGCCCAGCAGCAGAGAAGCUAAACCCAGGGCUAGUCACCGUUUUCAAGCUCUUCUCAGCUUCCACAUCCUUCUCCGUCUGCUCCCACACAACCUCCGGCUGAACAGGGUCCUCAACCACCGACGCUAUCCCUUCCUUCCUCCUUUUCAAAAAGUAAGACUCACUCUCUUCAUCAUCCUUGAACAUAGUCACACCAGCCGGCUCCUCAUUCGACCCAUUAACUAAACUACUUCCACGCCUCAAAACUCGUGAAGCAAUCCCAAGGAAAAGCUCGCCGGUCGCCACCGCAAACGACUUCUUCUCAUCCCCCACUGGCGGAGUAGGCAACGGCGGUUCUCUGAUGGUGGGUGGUUGUUUUGCAUUGGAGUUCGGAGGGGGUGGGUUAGGUUUAGCGGAGAAAUUGAGGGUACGAAGUGGAAAAACGAGAUGGGGAUUAGAUUUAGGGUUUAUAGGAGGGCGAAAAGGACGAGGGUUUGAGAGGAAAAGGGAAGAUAGUGAAGCAGAGUGAUCCGAAUAAUCGGGCUCAGGUACAACAGCAGCAAGUCCAGGAGGCUGGUUAUGCAAUGUCAGUUAAGUAUGAUCAGCAUCAACAAAUGUAUCAGCCCCAACAAUAUGUACACGCUAGUCAAUAUAUCCACCAUACACCUUCUGGUUCUGUGCCAGUGACGUCUUAUUAUCCUAUAUACCCCUCGCAGCAGCAAACUCAUCCUCCUCACCCUGCUCUUGAGCACCAGUACCCUGUUUACAUUGUUCAUUCUAGACAACCUUCGCAAGCAUACAAUUUGCCGGUCCAGCAAACAAAUUAUAGUGAGUCUGCUCAAACAAAUGUUCCUUCUAACCAACCCCAAACACCUCCCGCUCCUAGCAUGGCUGCUCCUGCUGCAGCUUACAACCAUCCUGGAAAUCCUCCUGCCUCCAAACCUGAAAUGAUUGCUGGUGCAUAUAGAACAGCAGCUGCGGGAACUCCACAAUUGGUUCAGAUCACUUCAGGCCAGCAUCAACAGCAAUAUGUUG